GUCGGGACCGGACAGACCGCAAAUUUCUGUCUCUCCCCGACUCCAAACGCUGCCUUUGUCUCGUUCGGCGUCCCGUCGCCCCCCGGACAAGC
Molecule: non-coding RNA, 92 nt
Filed under: Palpitomonas bilix
Lineage: Eukaryota
Source: RNAcentral